UUGCUCUUCAACGAGGAAUGCCUAGUAAGCGCAAGUCAUCAGCUUGCGUUGAUUACGUCCCUGCCCUUUGUACACACCGCCCGUCGCUACUACCGAUUGAAUGGCUUAGUGAGGCUUUCGGACUGGCUCAGGGAGGUCGGCAACGACCACCCAGAGCCGGAAAGUUAGUCAAACUUGGUCAUUUAGAGGAAGUAAAAGUCGUAACAAGGUUUCCGUAGGUGAACCUGCGGAAGGAUCAUUACUGAGACUGGGUGCUUCGGCGCCCGACCUCCAACCCCCUGUCUACCUUACCACUGUUGCCUCGGCGUCUCUGCCCACCUCCCCUCGUGGGCGGUGGGGGGUGCGCGCCGGCGGCCAAAAACAAAAACCCUUUUUUUAAAUCAAGCAAUCUGAGAAAUUAUUUUAAUAACUUCAAAACUUUCAACAACGGAUCUCUUGGUUCUGGCAUCGAUGAAGAACGCAGCGAAAUGCGAUAAGUAAUGUGAAUUGCAGAAUUCAGUGAAUCAUCGAAUCUUUGAACGCACAUUGCGCCCACUGGUAUUCCGGUGGGCAUGCCUGUUCGAGCGUCAUUAUCAACCAUCAAGCUCUGCUUGGCAUUGAGUGUCACCUCCCCCCACGGGGUGGGCGCGCUUCAAACCGGUCGGCGGUGGCUCAGGCCUCUUAAGCGUUAGUAAUACUUCCCGCUUCUAGAGCCUGUGGUCGCCCGCCUCCAAAACCCAACACCUCAAGGUUGACCUCGGGUCAGGUAGGGAUACCCGCUGAACUUAAGCAUAUCAAUAAGCGGAGGA
This 788-nucleotide ribosomal RNA is filed under the name uncultured fungus. RNAcentral describes it as "eukaryotic LSU rRNA". The stretch from base 1 to 241 matches the Rfam family "Eukaryotic small subunit ribosomal RNA", at positions 1593 to 1831 of the family's 1831-position model. Lineage: Eukaryota; Fungi. The record is from RNAcentral.